Molecule: long non-coding RNA, 620 nt
Organism: Mytilus californianus (California mussel)
Lineage: Eukaryota; Metazoa; Mollusca; Bivalvia; Mytilida; Mytilidae
Exons: 4
Source: RefSeq, a predicted model, not a curated record
UUUCUCCCUUGAAAGCAAUCUUCUGUAUUAUUUUCCCGUAGUUUUUCAACAGACACACAAGUCACAACAAAGAUGUUAGUUAAUUUUUCAGUGAGUACAUUGGACAGCAUUCAAAAGAAAAUAAAAAGAAGAACACAGAAACAGGCAAAAGAAAAAAAAAAAAAAAGAAGAUAAACACCUGAAAUCAUGAUAUUGGAUGAAUUUUAAUUUAUCAAGAUGCUGAAGUAUAAAUGAAUAUGAAGGUUAUAGGAAGUAAACCUGAAAAAGUUCUGAGGUGUCUUACCAAAGAUAAACAAAAAAAGAAUUGAAGGAGGCAGAGUACAAAUUUCUUCCUGAAACUGGAUACUCAAAGGCAAAGGGAAGAAGUCGACUACUUUCAUAUCCUUACAUGAAAAUGUUGUUGAAAACGAAGUGGAUAAGUACACAAAAAGCCACCAUGAGGAGGGACUCAGAUCAGCUUUAUAUUUGAAAGGGACAAGAACAAUUAGAAAUGUCAGAUAUAGCGACUGAAACUUUAUAUUAUUUUACAUGUUACAUCUAUUAUACUGUAUCAAUCUUGGAAAAUAUUUGUGAUUUUAUAAAGAAUAAUUGCAAUGAAUAAAAUUUCAUACAUUUUUUUU